CCCAGACUCUACGGGAGGCAGCAGUGAGGAAUAUUGGUCAAUGGGCUUACGCCUGAACCAGCCAAGUCGCGUGAGGGAAGACUGCCCUAUGGGUUGUAAACCUCUUUUGUCAGGGAGCAACGCCGGCUACGUGUAGCCGGACUGAGAGUACCUGAAGAAAAAGCAUCGGCUAACUCCGUGCCAGCAGCCGCGGUAAUACGGAGGAUGCGAGCGUUAUCCGGAUUUAUUGGGUUUAAAGGGUGCGUAGGCGGACGCCUAAGUCAGCGGUAAAAUUGGGGGGCUCAACCUCGGCGAGCCGUUGAAACUGGUGAUCUUGAGUGGGCGAGAAGUAUGCGGAAUGUGUGGUGUAGCGGUGAAAUGCAUAGAUAUCACGCAGAACUCCGAUUGCGAAGGCAGCAUACCGGCGCCCGACUGACGCUGAGGCACGAAAGCGUGGGGAUCGAACAGGAUUAGAUACCCUAAGUAU
This 466-nucleotide ribosomal RNA is filed under the name uncultured bacterium. RNAcentral's name for it is "bacterial SSU rRNA". It matches the Rfam family "Bacterial small subunit ribosomal RNA", at positions 330 to 793 of the family's 1533-position model. The record is from RNAcentral.